UUAAAAGCACUGAUAAGGACAUGAGUUACUUUUUACGGUUUCCAGAGAGGGAAGGAGAGCUGAAAUCUUCCUAACGCAGGAGAGUAACUUACCACCUUUGAGCUGUAUUGGAGAAUGAAGUACCCAAUACCGUCUAUGCUACGUUACAGCACCAGAGCCGUAAGUUCUCUUUUUACUUAUGGGAAAUUGGGUGGAACCACGGGUAGAACGCACUCGUCCCUUCU
RNAcentral lists this non-coding RNA (224 nucleotides) under Shouchella clausii. RNAcentral's name for it is "Bacillus clausii T-box sequence". It matches the Rfam family "T-box leader". Rfam says of the family: Uncharged tRNA acts as the effector for transcription antitermination of genes in the T-box leader family. Lineage: Bacteria; Bacillati; Bacillota; Bacilli; Caryophanales; Bacillaceae. The record is from RNAcentral.